This 457-nucleotide ribosomal RNA is filed under the name uncultured bacterium. Its description in RNAcentral is "SSU rRNA". It matches the Rfam family "Bacterial small subunit ribosomal RNA", at positions 26 to 518 of the family's 1533-position model. The record is from RNAcentral.
AGAAUCAACGCUGGCGGCGUGCCUAACACAUGCAAGUCGCACGAGAAAGGGACUUCGGUCCUGAGUACAGUGGCGCACGGGUGAGUAACACGUGAAUAAUCUACCUCCGAGUGGGGAAUAACUGAGAGAAAUCUUAGCUAAUACCGCAUAACACUUACGAGUCAAAGCAGCAAUGCGCUUGGAGAGGAGUUCGCGGCAGAUUAGUUAGUUGGCGGGGUAAUGGCCCACCAAGACGAUGAUCUGUAUCCGGCCUGAGAGGGCGCACGGACACACUGGAACUGAAACACGGUCCAGACUCCUACGGGAGGCAGCAGUGGGGAAUUUUGCGCAAUGGGGGAAACCCUGACGCAGCAACGCCGCGUGGAGGAUGAAUCCCUUGGGAUGUAACUCCUUUCGAUCGGGAAGAUAAUGACGGUAUCGAGAGAAGAGCCCGGCUAACUUCGUGCCAGCACGCCGC